CCUACGGGGGGCUGCAGUGGGGAAUAUUGGACAAUGGGGGGAACCCUGAUCCAGCCAUGCCGCGUGUGUGAAGAAGGCCCUCGGGUUGUAAAGCACUUUCAGUGAGGAAGAACGCCUGGUGGUUAAUACCCAUCAGGAAAGACAUCACUCACAGAAGAAGCACCGGCUAACUCCGUGCCAGCAGCCGCGGUAAUACGGAGGGUGCGAGCGUUAAUCGGAAUUACUGGGCGUAAAGCGCGCGUAGGUGGCUUGAUAAGCCGGUUGUGAAGGCCCCGGGCUCAACCUGGGAACGGCAUCCGGAACUGUCAAGCUAGAGUGCAGGAGAGGAAGGUAGAAUUCCCGGUGUAGCGGUGAAAUGCGUAGAGAUCGGGAGGAAUACCAGUGGCGAAGGCGGCCUUCUGGACUGACACUGACACUGAGGUGCGAAAGCGUGGGUAGCAAACAGGAUUAGAUACCCCUGUAGUC
RNAcentral lists this ribosomal RNA (465 nucleotides) under Vreelandella stevensii. RNAcentral's name for it is "partial 16S ribosomal RNA". It matches the Rfam family "Bacterial small subunit ribosomal RNA", at positions 338 to 795 of the family's 1533-position model. Lineage: Bacteria; Pseudomonadati; Pseudomonadota; Gammaproteobacteria; Oceanospirillales; Halomonadaceae. The record is from RNAcentral.